GGCUGUGCAGUGGCACAGUGGAUAGUGCUGUUUCCUCUCAGCAAGAAGGUUGUGGGUUUGAAUCCAGCCUGGAGCCU
This is a non-coding RNA of Gymnothorax javanicus (giant moray), 77 nucleotides long. NCBI's taxonomy places the organism in Eukaryota, Metazoa, Chordata, Actinopteri, Anguilliformes, Muraenidae. The record is from the annotation of a GenBank genome assembly.